RNAcentral lists this transfer RNA (65 nucleotides) under Dipodomys ordii (Ord's kangaroo rat). It matches the Rfam family "tRNA". Rfam says of the family: Transfer RNA (tRNA) molecules are approximately 80 nucleotides in length. Their secondary structure includes four short double-helical elements and three loops (D, anti-codon, and T loops). Lineage: Eukaryota; Metazoa; Chordata; Mammalia; Rodentia; Heteromyidae. The record is from Rfam by way of RNAcentral.
GGUGGCUCAGUGGUAGAGUGUUUGCCUUGCAUGUAUAAGGCCCUAGGUUCGAUUCCUCAGCACCA